RNAcentral lists this long non-coding RNA (534 nucleotides) under Olea europaea subsp. europaea. Lineage: Eukaryota; Viridiplantae; Streptophyta; Magnoliopsida; Lamiales; Oleaceae. The record is from RNAcentral.
AUGUUUAUCCCACAUUAAGUCUCACAGUUCUUUGCCAUAUUAUAUUAACACCACAAAUCCAUUUUAACAUUCUGAUUCUACCCAUAUGUAUCUUCUAAAUCUUGUUUUCGUGGUUGCCCAACAUUAGAAACUAUAUAUGGCUGGUCUUGACCUCAAAUAUCUUUCAACUCUAAACAUGAGGAAUCGUGGUUGUCGUAUCUUUCAACUUUAGAACUAAAUAUCACAGUUCUGUUCCCAUAAUCCAUGUCAAAACCAACCAAUGCAGAGAAUUCAUUCUAACUUCCAGAUCCCCGUCCAUGUGACUUUAAGAGCUAAAUAUCAAAGGAAGAAUCUACUUCAGACCCUUGACAUUUCUUUACCUUACUUAAGCAUCUUAAACUCUGCUCCAUAAUAUAUCAGCCUGUGUUGCCCAAGCCACAAAAAUAAAGAAAUUCAUGUUCAUGAAUCUUAAUAACUACUUCCACAAAAGAGAUUUUUCGAGGACCAAGACUUCCCACAGCACUACCCUUACAUAUUUGGCAGGACUCUUCACCA